GAACUCCCAAGCAACGCCACCACUUGAACAACCGCCGGCACCGGACCCAGUCCACUCGUCGCCCUCUCGCCGAUCGCCAUUCGCCACCACUCGUCGCCCUCCCAAGUCCCAAGCUCUGCAGAAUAUAUUGGAAGAAAGCUACUUCUUCAGUCACCUUCAAGGACCAAACAGCUUGCCUGAAUCACCUGUUGGACAGGCUUCUCAAACUCUCAGCAGUCAGCACUAAUUUGGGCAGUGAAUCUAAUUCCUCUCCAAAUGGUAGAACAGAUGUGGCAGAUAAAAUCAAACAGCCUAUCGUGACUUGCAUAAAUCGAAUAGCAUUCCUUUUCUUCGUUUAAUUCCAAGAUCACAAACAAUUGUGUGAUUGUCUAUUAUUUGGAGGUAAGUUACUUAGCCUUUUUCUCGUUAUUUUUGCAUGUGGGAAGGUCAAAAAUUGCUUUUGGAAAGUGUAGUGAAGCAUAGGCUGUGAAAUUGUUUGCUGUGAAGUUUGGAGAUUGUGA
This is a long non-coding RNA of Ziziphus jujuba (common jujube), 500 nucleotides long. RefSeq lists it as uncharacterized. The transcript has 3 exons. Lineage: Eukaryota; Viridiplantae; Streptophyta; Magnoliopsida; Rosales; Rhamnaceae. The record is from RefSeq and is a predicted model, not a curated record.